Molecule: transfer RNA, 59 nt
Filed under: Cricetulus griseus (Chinese hamster)
Lineage: Eukaryota; Metazoa; Chordata; Mammalia; Rodentia; Cricetidae
Rfam family: tRNA
About the family: Transfer RNA (tRNA) molecules are approximately 80 nucleotides in length.
Source: Rfam by way of RNAcentral
GUAACUCAAUGGUAGAGUGUCUGCUUAGCAUGCAGGAGACCCUGAGUUCAAUUCCCAAC